Microcebus murinus (gray mouse lemur) is the source of this 1854-nucleotide non-coding RNA. The record is from RefSeq and is a predicted model, not a curated record. Lineage: Eukaryota; Metazoa; Chordata; Mammalia; Primates; Cheirogaleidae.
UCUCCUCCAGCACCCCGGACUCUCCCUGCACCGCACCCGACUCUCUUUCUCCGCACCCCAGCUCUCCCACCCUGACUCCCUUCCCCCACUCCGGACCAUCUGCCCCCCCACCUCACCCCCGGCGCUCCGGACUGUACCCCUGCACCCCGAGUCUCUCCUCCAGCACCCCAGCUCUCCCCGCACCGCACCCGACUCCUCCCCGCACCCCAGCUCUCCCACCCUGACUCCCUUCCCUCGCUCCGGACCAUCACCCCAACACUCCCAACUCUCUGCUCCCCCACCCCGUCCCUGGCGCCCCUGGCUGUCCUCUCCGCACCCAGGCCUCUCCCCACAAUCCCUGGACUGUCCCCUUUCUCCACAGGCUGUCCGCCUCACUCUGGCUGUACCUCCAUCCUGGACUCUCCUCUUGAGCACCUGGGCCUCCUUAUGUGCCCCCCCCAGCAUCUGUCCUUCUCUGUCCCAUGGCCUGGCCGGCAGCAGGUGCUCAGUGACAGCUUGUCAAAGGGCUAGAUUCCCCGUUCUCCCUGGGAAGAUGCUUGGAGGAGCAGGAACCAGGGCAGAGGAAGCCUCACCCACAGGGACAUCCUGCGGUGGGGACACAGUCACUGGGCAUCAGACAGGUGACAGCUUCAGGCCAGCUGACCUCAGCCACUCCAGGGUCAGCCGGGUCUGCUCUCCCAUCCACAGCCAGGGGGAAUCAGCCCUUCCCAACUCUCAGAGGAAGCCUCUCCAAUACUCCUGUCACCCCAGGUCCCCUCCUGCCACCUGGCCUCUCCAGCUCAGGAAGGCUCAGGUAGGACUUUCAGUUGCCAUCAACAGAAAAGUUUGAGGUGAAAACAAAUUAAUCAAUAGAUACUGGGUAGCUCCAGAGCAUUGCCAGGAAAAACGGAGGACCGGUGAGACCUUGCAUCUGGGAAUGCCCCCAAUCACAGUGGCCUCCUCCUGAACCCCUGAGCCCCUCUCUCCUGCCUUCCCCCGCAGUCGAGACCAGCGGCUUCAGGAGGCUGUGUCGUGGUUAUGGUCAACAAGGUAAAAACCAGUCGGCUCCUACGAAAGGAGUUGCUUCCUCCUGGGGUGAGUCCAGGAGGCCCAGGAGCCGUCUUCUGACACCUUCGUGGGAGGCACUGACUGAAAACAGACCAAGAAGACAAAAGAGCUUAGGACAGGGGUGUCUUCAAAGAGCUGCUACUCAACCCAGGGCUGCUUUCUCCAGAGUUCUCGAUGUGUGAGUCGUGUGGACCCCGGUUGGGACUUCUCCUGGUCGAAACUGAGCUUCUUCCCACCCGACGGGGAACAUCUUGAUAGUCCCAGGCCACCGGAUCCCCACAGCGUCACCUAGGUGGGAGGACGCCCACCACAUCUGGAAGAACAGCUGCAGUUGGAAUCACGUCUUUCAAUCUGAGAUAACCGGCCGGCCGUCAAUCACCAGCCCUCCCCUGGCUCCUGCACAGAAGAGACACGGGAGAGAAAUCGGAAUCACAGAGGGGCCUCCUUCCCGCAUCUACCGGGUCUGGGAGGGUGACGCCCAUCUCUGGGCACCCCUGGGGUGACGCUUUGCCUUGGCUCACCACUUUAGCAGGGAGGCGGGACCAGGGCAUUUCCACUUAGCCCUCUCUUCUCCCCGUCCAUGCGUUCGUGUGGCAAUAAGUACCAAGUGCCAGCUGUAUACGAGGCGCUGGCAGGGUACUUGGAAAGCGGCAGUAGACAAAACAGACAACAACUGCCCUUGCAAGGGACGGCAGCCGUGGACAGCCAACAAAGAACUAAUGGGACAUGUGGCACACAGGAGAGUGGCGAGUGCUCGGGAGGGAAAUAAAGUCAGCGAGGCAGGAACAGGGGUGCCGGGUGCUGUGG